GGGCCUGUGGCUCAGCCAGGUAGAUAACUGACUAAACCGAAAGCGGCUGGCUCUUAACCAGUAGUGUAGGUGAGUAAGUCGUGGGUUCAAAUCCCACCAGGCCCG
Molecule: transfer RNA, 105 nt
Filed under: Nitrososphaerota archaeon
Lineage: Archaea; Thermoproteati; Nitrososphaerota
Also listed under: 2 other names
Description: Thaumarchaeota archaeon tRNA-Lys
Rfam family: tRNA
About the family: Transfer RNA (tRNA) molecules are approximately 80 nucleotides in length. Their secondary structure includes four short double-helical elements and three loops (D, anti-codon, and T loops). Further hydrogen bonds mediate the characteristic L-shaped molecular structure. tRNAs have two regions of fundamental functional importance: the anti-codon, which is responsible for specific mRNA codon recognition, and the 3' end, to which the tRNAs corresponding amino acid is attached (by aminoacyl-tRNA synthetases). tRNAs cope with the degeneracy of the genetic code in two manners: having more than one tRNA (with a specific anti-codon) for a particular amino acid; and 'wobble' base-pairing, i.e. permitting non-standard base-pairing at the 3rd anti-codon position.
Source: RNAcentral